RNAcentral lists this ribosomal RNA (433 nucleotides) under uncultured bacterium. RNAcentral's name for it is "partial 16S ribosomal RNA". It matches the Rfam family "Bacterial small subunit ribosomal RNA", at positions 29 to 507 of the family's 1533-position model. The record is from RNAcentral.
AACGAACGCUGGCGGCAUGCCUAACACAUGCAAGUCGAACGAGCCCUUCGGGUCUUGUGGCGCAUGGGUGCGUAACGCGUGGGAACCUGCCCUUAGGUUCGGAAUAACUCCCCGCAAGGGGUGCUAAUACCGGAUAAUGUCUUCGGACCAAAGAUUUAUCGCCUUUGGAUGGGCCCGCGUUGGAUUAGCUAGUUGGUAGGGUAAAAGCCUACCAAGGCGACGAUUCAUAGCUGGUCUGAGAGGAUGAUCAGCCACACUGGGACUGAGACACGGCCCAGACUCCUACGGGAGGCAGGAGUGGGGAAUAUUGGACAGUGGGCGAAAGGCUGAUCCAGCAAUGCCGCGUGAGUGAUGAAGGCCUUAGGGUUGUAAAGCUCUUUUACCCGUGAUGAUAAUGACAGUACCGGAAGAAUAAGCUCCGGCUAACUCCGUG